Molecule: transfer RNA, 90 nt
Filed under: Candidatus Odinarchaeota archaeon
Lineage: Archaea; Promethearchaeati; Candidatus Odinarchaeota
Also listed under: 1 other name
Description: tRNA-Leu
Rfam family: tRNA
About the family: Transfer RNA (tRNA) molecules are approximately 80 nucleotides in length. Their secondary structure includes four short double-helical elements and three loops (D, anti-codon, and T loops).
Source: RNAcentral
GCGGAGGUUGCCCAGCCUGGUUAAAGGCGCAGGGUUUAGGUCCCUGCAUCUCGUAGGAGUUCGCGAGUUCAAAUCUCGCCCUCCGCACCA